AUACGUAGGGGACGAGCGUUGUCCGGAUUUACUGGGCGUAAAGGGCGCGUAGGCGGUCAUUUAAGUCAGCUGUGAAAUGGUUUGGCUUAACCGGAUCAUGCGGUUGAAACUGGAUGACUGGAGUGCUGGAGAGGCAAGUGGAAUUCCCAGUGUAGCGGUGAAAUGCGUAGAUAUUGGGAAGAACACCGGUGGCGAAGGCGACUUGCUGGCCAGCAACUGACGCUGAGGCGCGAAAGCCAGGGGAGC
This 246-nucleotide ribosomal RNA is filed under the name uncultured bacterium. RNAcentral describes it as "partial 16S ribosomal RNA". It matches the Rfam family "Bacterial small subunit ribosomal RNA", at positions 523 to 769 of the family's 1533-position model. The record is from RNAcentral.